RNAcentral lists this non-coding RNA (46 nucleotides) under Trichobilharzia regenti. Lineage: Eukaryota; Metazoa; Platyhelminthes; Trematoda; Strigeidida; Schistosomatidae. The record is from RNAcentral.
GCAUUGCUGAAGAGUCCCAAACUAGGACGAAACAGCUGUCCAGUAC